This 22-nucleotide microRNA is filed under the name Callithrix jacchus (white-tufted-ear marmoset). RNAcentral's name for it is "cja-miR-548f". Its record names the gene cja-miR-548f. RNAcentral also lists the same sequence under 2 other names. Lineage: Eukaryota; Metazoa; Chordata; Mammalia; Primates; Cebidae. The record is from miRBase by way of RNAcentral.
AAAAGUAAUCGCGGUUUUUGUC